RNAcentral lists this ribosomal RNA (229 nucleotides) under uncultured bacterium. RNAcentral's name for it is "partial 16S ribosomal RNA". It matches the Rfam family "Bacterial small subunit ribosomal RNA", at positions 106 to 334 of the family's 1533-position model. The record is from RNAcentral.
GGGAGUAACGCGUGGGGAACCUACCCUACUACAGGGGAGUAACAGCUGGAAACGACUGCUAAUACCGCAUAAGCGCACAGAAUCGCAUGAUUCAGUGUGAAAAGCCCUGGCAGUAUAGGAUGGUCCCGCGUCUGAUUAGCUGGUUGGUGAGGUAACGGCUCACCAAGGCGACGACCAGUAGCCGGCUUGAGAGAGUGAACGGCCACAUUGGGACUGAGACACGGCCCAA